RNAcentral lists this transfer RNA (72 nucleotides) under Mycobacterium sp. ACS1612. It matches the Rfam family "tRNA". Rfam says of the family: Transfer RNA (tRNA) molecules are approximately 80 nucleotides in length. Their secondary structure includes four short double-helical elements and three loops (D, anti-codon, and T loops). The record is from Rfam by way of RNAcentral. Lineage: Bacteria; Bacillati; Actinomycetota; Actinomycetes; Mycobacteriales; Mycobacteriaceae.
GCCCCCUUAGCUCAGUGGUAGAGCAUCCGUCUUGUAAACGGAAGGCCGUCAGUUCAAUCCUGACAGGGGGCU